RNAcentral lists this ribosomal RNA (160 nucleotides) under uncultured bacterium. Its description in RNAcentral is "partial 16S ribosomal RNA". It matches the Rfam family "Bacterial small subunit ribosomal RNA", at positions 158 to 334 of the family's 1533-position model. The record is from RNAcentral.
AGAGAGUAAUACCGUAUACGCCCUUCGGGGGAAAGAUUUAUCGGAGAAGGAUCGGCCCGCGUUAGAUUAGAUAGUUGGUGGGGUAAUGGCCUACCAAGUCUACGAUCUAUAGCUGGUUUUAGAGGAUGAUCAGCAACACUGGGACUGAGACACGGCCCAG